This 86-nucleotide signal recognition particle RNA is filed under the name Citrobacter sp. RNAcentral describes it as "partial signal recognition particle sRNA small type". It matches the Rfam family "Bacterial small signal recognition particle RNA", at positions 12 to 97 of the family's 97-position model. Rfam says of the family: The signal recognition particle (SRP) is a universally conserved ribonucleoprotein involved in the co-translational targeting of proteins to membranes. Archaeal SRP consists of a 7S RNA and homologues of the eukaryotic SRP19 and SRP54 proteins. In most bacteria, the SRP consists of a 4.5S RNA and the Ffh protein (a homologue of the eukaryotic SRP54 protein). Lineage: Bacteria; Pseudomonadati; Pseudomonadota; Gammaproteobacteria; Enterobacterales; Enterobacteriaceae. The record is from RNAcentral.
CCGCAACGCUACUCUGUUUACCAGGUCAGGUCCGGAAGGAAGCAGCCAAGGCAGAUGACGCGUGUGCCGGGAUGUAGCUGGCAGGG